This 73-nucleotide transfer RNA is filed under the name Trichopodus leerii (pearl gourami). RNAcentral describes it as "tRNA-Asn". Lineage: Eukaryota; Metazoa; Chordata; Actinopteri; Anabantiformes; Osphronemidae. The record is from RNAcentral.
UAGAUGGAUGCUCGUUGGUUGGGGCACUUAGCUGUUAACUAAGAGUUUGUAGGAUCGAGGCCUGCUCAUCUAG